Molecule: long non-coding RNA, 28676 nt
Filed under: Setaria viridis
Lineage: Eukaryota; Viridiplantae; Streptophyta; Magnoliopsida; Poales; Poaceae
Description: long non-coding RNA (SVIR_LNC001033)
Source: RNAcentral
UUUUUGUUUUUUUUUUUUGUUUUUAAUCUUAGCGCGGCGCCUCUGAAUUCUAGACCGCCUAGUCUGCUCGUCUGGUUGGUUUUGAAAUUCAGGUCUCUGUCUGCUGACCAAAUCCUCAGUUUGGCUGCGCAUUUCUCCCUCUCGAAUCUCUCAUGCGAAUACUCGAUGCGAGCCAGAUGUUGUAUUGGCAGUGCAUCCUUUCCUAAGGAUAUUUAAGUUGACCAAUUUAACGUGCAAGGUGUGUGCGUUUUUUCUUUUAUAUCACAAGCAGCCUGUAAUUAUUUUUUCCCGUCCGAAAACAUCUUUCUUUUAAUAUAAUUAGCAGCUCAACUGCCGGUUCGUUUAAAAUCGUUUAAAAAAAGUGCAGCGUUUGGUAAUGUUUUUUAAAAAAUGUACCGAUAAAACCUCCAAUGAAAUGGUAGUGUUUGAUCAGUAUAUGCAGCAACAGUGCGCAUGCUCUCAUGUCCCAAUCAGACAAUGAAGUAGAAUCUGCCAAUUUGAAGGGAAUCCCUUUGAAUAAUAACCAAAGAACAAAGAAUAAUAUCCAUUUCUAGAAGUGCUGAUGCAAUUUUGCACCAGGACCAGGAGCCUCUCACGGAGAAGCUUCCGAUUUCAACCCAUCCGAUUGCAAUGCGAUGACGCACCAAUACGACACACUGAAUUCUACGUUACAAGCUUCUCAGAACACCACACUAAUUUCUCACGAGACGUCAUCAUCUGUUUUUUUUUCCUUCGUUUCACUCUAGCAACAAUUGAGGAACGAACGAGCUCCAUGCGAUCAGGAGUCCUCAUGUCGAUGCAACGAUUUCGUCGAGCUCAUCACAGUCAUUUCUUCGAGCACUGCCAUUGGCGAUGCGCUCCUCAUUUUGCUCUGUUCUCACACUCGGCUCAAUCCAUCAAUCAGCUACGACAUGACAGUCAUUUAGCUCACUAGCUGCUGGACCGGGCCGGCGGCGAACCACGGAUGGGCCGGGAGUGUCAGCUGGACGGGAGCCUGCGCCGGCGGGGGCGGCACGAGGGCCAUGGCCAUGGUCGCGGCCGCGGCCUCUCCUCUCUUCCUCCGCUUGGGAGUCCCGGACGAGGAGGACGACGAAGGGGAAGAAGAGUCGGAGCUCGCAGCCGGCUCGGGUGACGGCCGCUUCUCCCCCACGGCGGUGGCGGUGGCCGCGGCCGCGGCCGCGGCGGCGAUCUCGGAGCCGAUGCGGAGCGGGAAGUUGAGGAGCGCGCGGGAGCCGCGCAUGCGGUAGGCGGCGCGGUCGUAGGCCACGGCGGCGUCCUCGGCGUUGUCGUAGGUGCCGAGCCACACGCGCGCGCCGUUCUUGGCCGGAUCCCGGAUCUCUGCGGCGAACUUGCCCCACGGCCGCUGCCUCACCCCGCGGUAGUGCUUGCCCCUGGCCACCGCCGCGGCCUCCUCGCUGCUCCCGGGCGCCGUCGCGGGCGACGCCGCCCCGGCCGUCGGCGUCUCGGGCUCCUCCUCGUGCGACGCGAGGAGGCCGCCGACGCCGAGGCAGGAGCCGAACUCGUAGGGGGAGUCCGGGGACGCCGGGGGCUCGGGCUUGACGGCGGCGAAGGAGCCGUCGGGGAGCCAACCCCGGGAGAAGGCGUCCCGUAGCGCGCCGAAGACGACCAUGUCGUCGGCGUCGUCGGGGCGGAACGGGAGCGACUCGCUCCACUGGUCCGCCACCAGGCUGCCGAAGCUCGUGCUGCGGCGGUACACCGGCCGCGCCGCCGCCGCCGCCGGCUCGUCCAGGAGGUGGUGCCGGAUGCUGUCCAGCGCCGCCGCCUCGCACGCCGGGUUAAGCAGCAUCUUGUCUUGCUCGGACUGUGAUGCGUCACGUGAUCUGGGUUUUUCCAGGGAUUUUUAAGCUUUUGUUUGAGAGGUUGGGCUCGGUUGCGGUUUAUAUAGCGGAGGCUGGAGAAGUGGGGUCCUGUUGUCAUUUGUCGUCGCCUUCUUGGUGACCUUCCUUGAACUUUCCCCGCGUUACUGUCACGUGGCUCAAUCGUUUUGGAAGCGGCAGUUUUUGGCAGUGGGCUUACGAUUUUUUGAAAUAAAAGCUGUGGUCAUACAUACGCACAAUCAUGAAUGCAUUUGGUGACUGUUUUACAUAAAAAAAGAUAAUUUUGAAUAACCGGAUAGGCAGCAUUUUUUUCUUGGUUUUUAUAUUAUCACUAGAGCCUGCUCAUUUGUACGAGUUGAAUCCUAUGUACAAAACUAUAUUAUGCACGCCUGAAAAUAAAGGAAAGCGAGGGUUGCUUUGCUUCUCAAAUGAAAGCAAACUGGUUAACUAUCGCUAAAAAGAGUGAUUAAAAAAAUCGCGCACUCAGAAUGUCACUGUAUAAUAAACACUAUCAGUUCCAUGAUCAUGUGUGCGUUGCUACUGCGGGCCAGCAAAUAGGCAAAGAGCAAAAGAAAAGAUAGGAUGGACUCGGUCAUCGCGAAGACCUAAAUUGUCAUGUCUCUGCAACCGUGCGUUGCAGCGUUCCUAGACGGCUGCACCAUAGACAGUGUUCCAUUCCACACUCCACACCCCCAAAAAAACGAGAGGAGGGUGCGGGGGUAAUGUUUGUGGCAUUUCACUGUACGUACUAGUACUCCUUCCGUAUACGAAAAGGAAGUCGUUGUUUAGAUGAUUUGCGCAAAUGAAGUCGUUUUAGCUCCGUGAACCAACUUUUGGACGCAUUUGCCCCUGGCGCUUUGUUUUCUUAUCCUCCCUUCAUUACUUGCGACGCUUUUGUUUACUGUGCGCUGGCCUCCCUUCCUCGCUAGCUUGCCUGCGCCAUAGAGUCCGGCGCCAUGAAGCUCGCUCGCGCCAUGGAGGAGGCGCUAGACUCCGUCUCGUUGGAGGAGGUGGCAUCGAACUCCUUGCCGCCGGACUCGUUUGUGCCAGACUCGUUUGCCGCCGUCUCAUUUGUGCCAGACUCCUUGCCGCCGGAGUCCCAGGCUGCCGUCUCGUUUGUGCCACACUCCUUGCCGUCGGAGUCCCAGCCGUCUACUUGCGUUUGCUGCGGCACGACCCAUGACUGCGACGAUGUUGAGGGUUGCCGCCUAGCUCGCCACUUGUUAGCAGGUGUGUCUGUUGUGGUCUUGUUCAUAGUGACUACGACCUCGCAGCAAGGAUAAUGGAUGAUAUAGACAAAUUUGAUUGCGAUAUCUAUAUUCCUAAUGUCAAAACGCUUCAAAUGGAUGGCGACACUAUACUUGUGCCUGAGCACGUUUUGAAGAAGCUGGACGAGCUAUGGAAGAUGAAGCAAGAUGCAAGGAAAGAGCAGUAGAUAAUAGGUAAGCUUACACGUCUCAUUCAUUCAAGCUAACAUGCCUCUCCUAAAUUGCUGCCUAAGCUUACACGUCUAACUUUUUUUUUAUGCAGGAAGACUAGUAAUGGCAUCAGCUAGCAACGACACCUCACAAGGGAUUUGCAAUGGCAACAGAUCUUCUUUCUCUAGUUUUUUUUUGCAUCUGAGGAAUCUUGAACUUGUUGCAUCCUUUAACCAUCAUGGCUUCCUUCAAAACACUCUGAAGUGUUAGAAAAAUUCUGUUUGCUUUGUAUAGACAAUACUCUAUGAAUGCCUAAAAACAUGUGUUGAAGAAAUCAAUCAAUGGGUAAAUUAGUUGUUCAAAAAACAAUGAAACAAGUGAACAAUUGAUCCAUUUACCUGUUGCACUGCUAGAACUAGAUCUUCUACUAUUUUUGCAUUCUUCUUGUAUUGAAUAGAUUGAAUAGCUCGAAAAAACCCCAAGUCUAGAAUAUUGAAAUCUGAAGAAUUGGGUGGUUGACAAAUUAGACAAAUGUCAAGUCCUUGUUGCUUAGCAGCCUCACAAAAAACCGGAUCAUUCACAGGUAAAUGGGAAGGUGCAUUAUUUUGUUGUAUGAAAAUUGGUUUGUUCACAUCUUCUCUUGACCAUUUGGCUCGGAUGGCAAGCAAUACUUUGUUUACCAUGAAAUCUCUAGUCACAUCUCUUGUGAUUGAAGUUAUGGGCUUGAUAACUUGGGCUCCACGAAGACGAUUCUGACUUCUUCUUACAGCAUUUCCAUAAGUGUGGAAAGCAACCAAUUUUCCCAUCAAAAAUACACUAUCCAUCCCUAAACCUCAGCCGAGCACAAACACACAAAAACAUGAGCCUAGGGAUGUAAUUCUUGUUCUUACAAGUGCGAUGGGGCUCAUCUUCCUCGGGUAGCAAGUAAUAUUUCUCAGAUUUUUGAGAGAGAUAAAACCAUUUUUCAUCAAUGAACACAAAGUUAAAAAACCCCUUAAAUCUUGGAUCACCAAGUAAUCCCUUCUCAAUCAUGUCAACACACCACUUUAACCGAGACUUCUUGUUAGAAUCUAUGAGGUAUGGUUUGAUGCUACUAGAGUGGCGUCUAAGAAAACCUUUUUUCAAAUACCUUGUAUUUUCCAUUUGCUCAUGUUAAGUUUGCUACACAUAUCUUCUAUGGCCAUUCUUUUCUUAAGAGGAAUGUUGCGCAAUACUUCCAAAUCAACAAGGAUUGCCUUACAACCUAUUGUACCCUCCUUUCGACUAGUAACAUUAACCGAAAUGUUUUGAGAAGGGGGAUUUUACCUCGCUUCCACAAGCGAUGAACAGAUCGAAUGUGAAGUCCAAAUUGUUCAGCUACAACUCUCGUAUUAUACUUGCCUAGUUUCCCAUUCUUAAUUCUAGCCAACAAAGUUUGGAACACUUAUUUUGUGACUUCUUCUUUCGUGUCUUUCCUUCGUCCAUUGACUUGAGCGGGAGCCUCAUCAAUAUCUUCUAGUUGUAAAAAAAACAAGCACAUUCAAACCAACGAUUUUGAUUACCAGCAUAGUUUACUAUCAAAAUAAAAGUUUUCUUCAAAAUCGAAAUUAACUGCACCAAAUUCGUCUAGUGGCAAGUUCAAAUCAAAUCCUAUCCAAAAGGAAACAAUGAUAUGAGAGACGAUUUUUAAAUAUAAAAAGGAAAGAGUGAUAUGAGAGGUGAUUGAAUAUGAAAAAGGAAACUAAUAAGAAAUGGAUCAAAUCAAAUCCUAUGCAAAAGGAAACUAAUAAGAGAGCAUUAUCGUUGCCAUGUUCCAACGCCGGCUCGUUGAGAUCGAACCCAGCAUUGCCAUUGUCAUCUUCCAGUAUAGCUCAUUAAGAUCAAAGCCAGCAGAUAAAUCAGCCAUGUAGAUGAAAGAGCUAGAAGAGGUUACAUGAAUAAGGGAAGAGGUUGCCAUGUUCCAACGCUGGCUCGUUGAGAUCGAACCCAGCAUUGCCAUUGUCAUCUUCCAGUAUAGCUCAUUAAGAUCAAAGCCAGCAGAUAAAUCAGCCAUGUAGAUGAAAGAGCUAGAAGAGGUUACAUGAAUAAGGGAAGAGGUUACAUGAAUAAGGGAAGAGGUGGUGGCGCUUAAAUGGGCACUCAAGUAACCUAAACGUCGGUCUUCACCAGUGAACCGAGCGCGAAUGCAAAAAUACGCGCCCAAACGCGAGCAAGCGGCAAAAAAAGCGCCUUGCAGGAAACGAACCGUGGACCUCAAGCCUUUGAGGUAGGCGCGCUAACCACUCCAGCAAGGAAAGUUAGUUGUAUGGGUAAUACCCGCAAGACUAUUUAAUAAGGGCAAACAGGGAAAAAUACACCAUAAUUAAUCACUCCUUGGUAUGCUAAAUGCUGUCAUAAACGACUUUCUUUUUCUAUACGGAGGGAGUAUCUAUAUGUUCUAUAUGUUCUAGAGCUUUAUUAUAUUCGGAACCAGUGGACAAAAGCAACGUCAUUUUGUGUAUAUUUAACUUGUGCUGAUAGCGGAGCGCUCGAGGUCCUCAUUGCAUUGCACGUGGUGCAAUUCACCGAGCCAUCCAGGGCAAUGAUCGCCCAUGGAAGUAGAUCCUGACUUCUCUGAGGUUCUUGGGCCUUGACCUACUGUAAGCGCCAACAGAACAGUGCAUGCCGGCAUCCAUUUUCUACGCCUGUUUGAUUCAUGGGUCGUCGUGGAAGAAUCAAUGAUAAGACUCUCGACAAACAUUGUUCAUGUGGCUUUUGAGAUGUCAGAGCAGGUCGCGGAGGCGCCGCACCAAGCCGGAAUCAAGUCUCCCGAGAAAAGAGCAGCAUGUCUCGUGUACACAAAGUAGCCGAGCGAAUUGAAAUUUGGAGCCAGAUGAGUGUGUCGUGUUGUUGGGUUCGAUACGCGAGAGUUCAAGAGUAUGGUGGGAGCACUGACAGAGGAAGCCUCACGGGGGCUUCCUCCUCCCUGAAAGUUUCUACCGCUGAACGUGCCGCUCGAGGAGAUUUCAAUCAAUGAUUGGUGCGAAAAAUGUUCCGCGGGGAAAAAUCUACAGGCAUCUUUAUCGGUGUUGGCUAACUCCUUUUUCUUUCUUUGUUAGAUGAAUUGCGCAUAUUUUCUUUUAAGAGCACCGCCACCAAGAUCUCGAUGUGCUGCUCGAUCGUAACAGAAAGAAGGAUGCAACAAUUUACUGAAAUCCCCUAUUUUCUAUGAAGAUCCGGUGGUACCUGUAGCAUCAUCUCGUCUCGCCCGUGCGGGUGCAUCCAUCCGGCUAGGCCCUUUCAUACCCUCCAAUCCAGUUCAUCACUGGCUGCUGCUCGUUCCGUCGUGGCGCGGGAAUUCAGACAUGAUCUCUGAACUGUUCAUUUCGAAACCCCUGGGCCCGAUCAGACAAGACAGCACAUGUCGCCCGCAAGGGGUUGCGGCCGGGCAGGGGUGCGCCGAUAUCUUGGCCUCUUGGGUGCAAUGAACCUGCCCUGCCACCAAAUCCAUCCAUCCAACGGCAAAGAGAAAAUUCCUGAGAGACGAGCUGCAACAACGGGCGUCAUUUUCGACCUGGGAAAAUUAGAUAAAGAAGCGCGAGACUUUUCGCAAAUCCGCACGUGUUCUGCUGACCCGACCACCCAGAAUUCAGAGGACAAAUAAAACAAUGUAGUCAUGGCCGUUGAGAUGCGUGGGGCCAAAGGCCAAAGCCUAUGGAGGAGGAGUAAACGAGGCUGUAGGUCGCAAGCGUCCCCUCCUUCGGGGCAAUUUCCUCACGACUACGACGGAGGCCGCUGUUCAUUCACCGAGGCCUGAUCAUGACAGCGAGGUGGGAACCGGCUCCGAAGGUCGCCGUCAGUUUUAAUUUGUUCUAGGCUUAUUCCACUCCUUUGACGCAACGGCGAUCGAUGGCGACAACCCACAGGUUGGUCGUUGAGUGCUGAUAAGCUAUCACGGUUUGCGAUAGGGAGGUGUGUCGAGUGGCAAGGACUUCCAAGGAUUCCUUCGGGAAGAAAUGAAGCAUCCUUGAGAAUGCCGAUGAAGAGGUAGCGGAUGCGCAGUGGGGAACUUGGAAGCAAUGUGCGGGCAUGCAUAAACAUAGAAUGUACUGGCGGUUCUUAAACUUUUCCAUGAAUAUCACCCGGAUCCUUGAACUUAAAAAAAAAAUGCAUGUUCACGUCAGCGAUUGAAAACAUCGAGCCACUGUAAGGAGAUUGCACAGCUGACGGCGAACAGCUCCCCUGUGAUUGAAAACAUUGGCCAUGAGGUGGAUGCUGGACGCAGUCUGAACUCUGAACCACUUGAGAAGCAACAAGCAAAGGAGAGCUCCUCUGUUGUUGCAUGUGCAUGAUGCUGACUGUUUAGCCUAAGCGUGGCAUCUUACAGAGGUUGGCUGCCCUGUGAAAACAAGAAAACAAAUGAGGAGAGAUAGAGAAAAGAUCCGAAGGAAGUGAUUUCAAAAAAAGAGGUUACAACACAUCACAAGAAGGUGACAACUACUCGACUGGUUAUUUUACUUAUGACCGACUGUCGGUGUUUUAUACCGGCAACCUACCGAGGGGUAUCCCGAGGUAGUAGAUUGGUUGCUGGGGAUCGUCGGACCUGGAAUUCGAAAGUAAAAGUAAGGAUACAAGGCACAGAUUUAUACGGGUUUGGGCCGCCAAAGUAGCGUAAUACCCUACGUCCUGUUUGUGGUGUUGUAUAUUGCGCCCUGCGCUUGGAUGUUAUUUGGUGUUGAGGAUUUGGUCCUCUGUUGUGGUUUUAUAAGAUCUUCGCCUACCGAUCUAGGGACCCCUGCCCUCCUUUAUAUACUCCAGGAGGCGAGAUUACUAGUCGGUUACAAGGAGUCCUAAUAGGAUUACAGAGGAAUCCUAGUAGGAGUCCAUCUUCUACCUUCCUUGUGAGUACUGGGGAUCUAUCCCCGACACUGACGAACUAUGCAACAGAGAAACAACUUCACCACUUUCAGAUGUAAUGGACUAAUGGUGAAUGACCAGACUCCAAGAUGACAAGACCGCAGAUCGUCGUUGCAAAGGAAGGGGGAAACACAGAACUGAUCUCCUUAGGGUGCUUUUACUAUAUCGAAUAGCAGAGUGCUCGAAGAUCAGAUUUGCAGGAUAGCAAACUCUAGCCUCUAGGCUCUAACAGUCCCUCGAAAUGUAGCAUGUGGUGUUACAGGUUUACUUAGGAAGUACUACUACCACCAAACACCAAACAGACAUUGUGAUUCGUGUUUAUGCACAAGGUGACUAUUUGCUGAGGCAAAAUUUCCCUCUCUUUUUUUGUAUUCCCUUUUGGUUAUGACUGUUCAUAGUUCACUGAAAAUCAAGCGCAAAUAAGACAGGAACAUAGUUUAUAACUAUUCUAAGGCUCUAAGCUUGUGGCAUUUCUCUCAUCAGUUUUUACAGGUUCAAAGGAUCACAAUGGAUUCUCAUAAAGUGUGUCAAUUUAUCUAGCCAAAAUUUAAAAACAAAAGGUACUCCACAAAAGUGCUAAAAGGAAACAUACCAAAUUGUCCUGAAUGGGUUUUCUGAGGGGGAGUGCAAAUCCGCAUAAUACUUGAAAUGCAGUCAUGCUAGUGAGCCCAAUUCUUUAAGGCAAUGAGAAGGUCCUGAUGCUUCACUUGGAACCAACACUUCAGAUAAAAAUUCAAGGACACUGUCACCAUAUUAUAGAUGGAUCAGUAGGAAAAAGGGUGGAGAAAAUAAGCAUGACGGAAACAGAUCAAGCAAGUAAUAGUUUUAAAAUUGUUGUGCAGUACCUUAGCAAAGAUGAGCACAGCAUACUCUGCAUUUUUCACUGCAGAAGGGAAGCAUUCAUUUAUUUAAUAGCAUGUAGCUGAUAAAUUAUAAUUCACACAUUGACAGUCUGAUGAACACUCCUGCCUCACUGAAACGGCCCAUUUUAGUAAGUGCACCAACAACUGGCCAAUACGUAUAUUGAUAUGCAGCGAUGCAGGAACUUGACUCCAUCGCAAGAAGAAUUUCCUUAGCUUCAUCAACUCUUCUUUCAUCACAUACAGCUUUUAUCAGGGUAUUGUAUGUGUAACUGUCUGGCGCCACACCAUAUUUUAACAUGGCAGUGAAAAGUUUGUGAGCUUUAUCUAUUUUUCUCAUCCUGCAAAAACUCAAAAUAGGUGCAUUGAAGGAAUAUGCAUCUGGACAAAUGCCAUCCAUUUUCAUUUUAUUAAGAAGAUCGACGGCCUUGUUAACAUGCCCUUCUGAACAAAAUGCACAUAUCAGAACAUUGUAGGUCUGGACAUUCGGCUUAACACCCCACUCCGACAUCUCAUUGAAGCAAGCAAAGGCAUCAUCCAGCUGAUGGGUGUGACAUAGCCCGUCAAUAAGGGAGGUAAAAGUAAUGAUAUCUGGCAUGAACCCAAGUUCCAUAAGCAUCUUCAGAACAGCCUUUGCGUCAUGUACAUUGCCUAAUUUCGAAUAUCCACUUAUCAGUGUGUUAAAAGUCACGAGAUUAGGAAGGAAACCUGAUUCUUGCAUCACUUUGACAAUCUCCAUUGCCAUUUCCACUUCACCAGCCUUGGAGAGGCAAUCUAUCACCAUGUUGUAGGAUGUCACACUAGAAAAGAGCCCAUCCGAAACCAUUUGACUUAAAUACUUCUGCGCCUUUGAGAUGUCCUUGCAGCUCAGCAAGGAUUUGAUGAUCAGAAUAUAUACAUUAAAUCCCAGUUUCCCACCUUUCUUGAUGAAAUCAUCUACCAACUCACAUACAUAACUGAACUCCAAGCGUUUCAAAGCACAAGAGAUCACAAUGCCAAAUGUUGUGUUGCCGAGGGGAUAACCUCUAUUUUUCAUCUUAUCCACAAGCUCAACAGCCUCUUUGGCCAUGCCGUUCUUCGAGAGGCAAUACAGCAAGGUGUGAUAAGCAUUUUGAUGAUGCAGAGUAGGAUGACUCUCAAGCCACUUACUCAAUAUCCUGUAUGCCUUGUCUGUACCCAGGGAACGAAACACACCAUGAAUCAGUGUUCUGUACGUGGCCUCUGUCGUUGCCACACCCUUCUCCUUCAUCUUCUCCAACACACCAACCGCAUCCUCCGCCCUGCCAGCAUUGCAGAAACCAUCGACCAGCAUCGUGUAGGUGAAAACAUUCGGCCUGAUCCCAGCACCCUCCAUCUGUUUUACCAGCCUUAGUGCCUCGUCGACGAUCCCACGCCGGCAGACACCGUGCACGAGUGCGUUGUAAGUGAAGGAGUCCGGGCGGCACCCGUCCGCGGGCAUCUGCUGGAACCUGAGGUACGCGGCGUCGACCGCGCCGGCGCGCACCGAAGCCGCAAUCACCGCGUUGUAAACCAUCGUGCUGGGCUGCAGCCCCAGGCGCGGCAUUUGCACAAACACCUCGUGCGCGUAGUGCGCCAGACCGAGCCUGCCCCAACUCUCCACCAGCGCGCAUAGCAGCUCCUCAGAGACCACGCACCCGCACCCCUGUACCUCGGCGACAAGCGCCGCGGAGAGUACCACGGGCCCGCGCCGCCACAGCGCGUCCCCGAGCGCGCGGCGCACGGACCGGUCCCGCGCGAAGUGCUGGCCGAACCGCGACGCCCAGACGUAGAGGCGCACGCAGAGGAGCGGCUCCGCGGCGGCGUGCUGCAGCGCGCGGACGACGAAGCGCGGGCCCAUCUGCUGGAGGGCGGCGGCGAACUCCGAGUUGAUCCGCGCGAACCAGUUCGGCUCGGCCAGGAGCGACGCCGCGCGGGCCGGGUCCGCGGCGGCGGCGGAUUCCGCAGCAUUCUGGCAGGAUUCAGCAGAAAUGUUGGAUCUCUGGCGGAUUUGGGCGGACAGAUAGGUGGGUUUGGGCAGGCGCGAAAGGAGAUUGGGGAGCAGCCUCCUGCUUCUCAUCUGCUUCAUUGUGGUAGCUCAUGAACUUGCGUACGUACGGCACGAUAUGCAAAGGCAGGAUUCCAUAUACAAGGAGGAAAAGUCGUAGCAUAUGGUACGAUAUGCCGUAUGGGCUUUACCAUAUCCAGACCGGUUGCACAGAGUCCAACAUGGCCCAGAAACUUUGCGCCACGAAUUGCGCGACAGCCCAACUACGUUGCAAUCUUUGAUUGUUGAUGAUGCGACCUUGGAGAACUAGGCCGAACUUUCUAACGAAUGCGGCCCAUGCACCUAAGGCCCUAAAAAGGGCACAUUCCAGGGAGACCGUAGAAGCACAUGGGCAACAAGGUCUUUUCGUCCCACCACCGGCCUUCUUCUACCUCCACUUCCGGCGACCUCGCCGCCGCCGCGGCCAUGGACCGGUGGACCGGCGUCGUACACGUUCCUCUCUCCCGAGGCGGGUCUCUCUUCCGCGUCGCCGCCUCGCUCGUCCUCUCGCCCGCCAAAACGCUCGCCGUAAGGCCAACACACUUUUCCCUUUCCUCUUCAGAUGAUUAUCUCUUGCCUCCACAGCCCCUGAACUCUCUGACGGCACCAGGUUCCACGCGCCAACGCGAUCCUCUUCACGGGCGACCGCGUCCGCGGCACCGGUGACCCGGCGAUCGAGCGGCUCUCCGACGCCGCUCACAUCGCCGGGGUUCUCGCUGGGAAGCUCAGCGGGGAGACCAACGCAUGGGUGGUCGACGCCGCAUGCUUCACGGGGCCAUUUGCGGUGUACCGAGAACUUGUCCCGUCCGUGGACGCCGCUGGACAUCCCAAGGGAUAUAACCCCACUGGCUUCCCAGCUGCUGCCGGCAUUGCCAACAUCCUUGCGCACGGCAUUGCUGAGGUAUAAUGUUGUUGAAUUCUGGGAAAUUUUGCAGCGUUUAGUUCUGCCAGUCCAGUAUUUUUGGCGCGAAGCAUCUUUAUUACAGUUGCAAAGAUAAUAAAUCGCUACAUAGUUUAGAUUUGGAGUUACGAUUUCCGUGCCAAUUUUCCCUCAUAAGGUUUCUAUUACUGAUGCAAUUAAGAUACAUUUGCCAGUGCUAAUAGAUUGUAGGGUAUGUUGUUGUUAGAUUACCAAAUGCAGGAAUUGUGAUUAAAAAAUAGGUAUGUUUUGCCAGUUUUACCAUUUUAGUAAUUAAUAUGGCAGAUGCAAGUUCAAGACUUUAAACCGUUCUUGUAGCAUUCCUGGAAACUAAUUUUGUCAGAUAUUCUUGGAUUUUCUAUUGGGAUAAGGUGUUACUGUUUUUUUUAAAAGUAGGUGUUACUGUUUUAGUUCGCUAAUUGUAGAUAACUGGGCAUACAAAACUAGUUUGCUUACUCAUUUGUUUUUGUUCCAAGAACGUUGAUUGAUUUCUUACUUACCCUGUUAUUAAUUGUUUAAUGGCAUUAGCAGAUGCUCCUCAAAUUUCCUUGCUGAUAUAAUGCUUAGGUAUUGAUGACAUACUGCUCUGGUACACUUUAUACAACGGACUCUUGGUUUAUAAAUUAAGUUGACUAUUUCUAUCAGUAGUGGACAAAAUCUGCUGACUGGUUUAAUAUAACUGCACUGCAUGCAUUAUGUGUUUGACUUCUUUAGCUCCGAAGUUAUUUCAUAAUCUACAUUGCAAAAUCCCAUUAUUCCAAUCUUGUUUCAUGCUAUUAUGAUGUUGACAUAUUGCGUGCCUUAUAGGGUUCUAUUUUUUUCUUGUGUUUCUGACCUAAACUGAAAUAUCCUAGUUAUAUUUUCUUUCUGAAGUAAUCCCUGUUGUAUUUUCUUUUUGACGUAAGUCUAUUUGAAUUAUCAUUCUGCAACUUUCUUGCAGUAGUGUUAAUAUGUGCUUUUCCAUGGCUCAUCUUUAAUCUUUUUCCUACAUCUUGUGUGAUUUGCAGAUACAAAAUAAGUUCUUGGGGUGCUCAGCAAAGGAGUCGGCUGUUAAUCAGCAUCGUUCCGCAACAAUGUCAUCCUACUGUCCUCCUAGGACUAUCAUCCUGGGAUUCAGCAAAGGUGGCGUUGUUGUCAACCAGCUUAUGGCAGAACUUUCGUUUUGGGCAUCAGAAUCAAUGAAAAACUUGUUCGAUGUUUCACAACCGUAUCCAUCUCAUUCAAGCCAUAAUCUCCUGGUUCCUACUUCGAUUAGUGAUGUGUUACCAAGUGUUUCUGAAUUCCAUUAUGUGGAUGUGGGCCUAAAUUGUGCUGGAGCGUACAUUACUGACCAAGCGGUGAUCAAGAAGAUCGGCGAUUAUGUUUUGCAUACUGGUCGGAACCUUCGGUUUGUCCUUCAUGGUACUCCGAGGCAGUGGUCUGAUCCAAACCGGUUAUGGAUUUGCAAGGAGAAAGACAUAAUGCUGCAGCUGCUUCGAGAUGAGGCUCAGAGGUGUGAUGGGAGACUGUUGAUAUCUGAAAAGAUGUAUUUUGAUGGUAGACCUCGCAGUCUGCUGAUGCAUUUUGAGAUUUUGGAAGCAAUGGUUAUUAGCUGAUAUUUAAUCCGUACAUCUUGUAGCCUUAGUAUUUUCUCCGUAUCAAUUUGUACGGAUAACAGGAUGUGAAUAUGCUUGAGGGUCUUAGUUCCUCCGUGCUGACUUCAUCACUGUGCCAUUCUGUUGGUUGUCUUGUACAUAUCAGAAGUCAUAGCUGAACAAUCAAAUACAGUGGAAUAUCUUAAAUCACAUGAUCCACGGAAUACGUAUGUGACGUGUUUUAUCUGAGGAUAUUUUGUUUCGCUUUGGAGAUAAGUGGCUUCUUUUCAUCACGUUUCACCCUUUUGUUUUGUUGCUGUGCUUAUUAAAAGGUUCCCUUCAAGAACUGUCCAUUAUGAGCUCAAGUUUGUCAGUUAUAAAUAAUUACCCUGGUGUCUCGUUUGCUGAUGGAUGACUUGCCGGCCUGCCAUUUUCCUUCUGCCAUGCAGUCGGCGGGAUUUGCCUGUGUCAAUUUUUCUCUAUUCAGCUGUGUGAACGAGUCUCUGGUAAUCAGCAAAACGACCAGAGCUGCAAUGUAGUUGUCGGAUAUAGCACGAUUCGGCGUUCAGCACUGUCGUUUUGCUGCAACUGACACGCACUUUGUAAUCCUGCAGCUAUGACCAUUGCGAUAUGCAAACGAAUGGUGAAUAAUCCUUCGUCAAACAGAAGAAUCUCUUGGUCCACAUGACGCGUCAGAUUAAGCCUCGCGUGUUAGGAUAAUGCCAGUAGUGGAUUUGUUAGUAAAGUAUCAGUAGUAUAGUGUACUAUAGUACAGAAUGCAAUGGUGAUUCCAGCUGCACUCUCACUGUUCUUGUCUCACUCCUCGGCGAACACCUGAACCCGUCAAACCCACAUUCUUUCAAACAUGUUGUCGGAUACUGUUAGGUUAGCACGGGGCCUUUCGAUCCGAUCCAUAGACAAAUUGGGUUGGUGCCCCCCCCCCCUGAUCUCUUGUAUCUUUAUACGCGACGUCCAAAUCCCAACAUGCAGUUCCGGAAAAAAGAGACCUGGCAAUGCAACAAGAUUACAAGGAACCUUGUCAAUUCUACACUGGACAGGCUCCCAUUGGCACCAGUUUGUAAACGUGUAAGACGGUCGCGACCGGAUCACGGAGAGCUUGGACGCAUGCGAUCAGUUGCUCGCUGCUCCAAUUUUUAUGUGCGCGACCGUGUCCGCUCGAGCUUGGCCUCAUGCGCGCGUUGUCCGCCGAGCAGCUAGCGCUUCGCUUCGGUCCUCACCUCAUGCUGCUGGAAGCGAGGCGAUCCGCUGUCUCCUUCGUCGCCCCCUCGCUGCGGGACAAAACACGAGUAAAGACCGCACGAACGGAUCAAAUCAAAUGCAGGCCGACGCUGAUUUGAGUCCAAAAAUACGCUUUUUGGGGGGGCCGUGGUUGCUUCCGUGAUCCAUCUAACCGAUCGCUUCUUGAAACGGUCAGCUCAGACCCAGACGAGAUCACUAGCUCUCUUUGUUUAUUGUUAUCACUCGGCAGACCAAGAUAGGUGAAUGAUCUCGUCUGGUAAUGCCGGAAUUGUUGCCGUAUCGAAGGCGUGCAGGUGUUCGGGUCUCUGAAGCAAGUUGUUAUCCAGUUACACUGCAUUGCUUGCUUGCUUGCUUCCGUCUAGAAGAUACUAGCUUGGGUGUUCAGAGUUCAGUGCCAAGAGCUCCGAGGAGUCUUCAUGGACUCAGAUUCCUGCAUCGGUUUGAGCUCCGAAUCAGGCCGCCGGGGCGAUAGAUUUAUGCGUUCAAAGCAACGCUGCCGUUUUCUAAUGGCGAUCCACUUGACGCACUGACAGGUACACGGUUCUUUCCGGCGACACACGGGUAUAGUAUUACGCUGCUUUUUAGCUGAAAAAAUAGUGAUUGGUACCGGGCUGUAAGCGAGGCAUCGCCGGAUUAUUCUACCCGAUCCGCUCGUUACUACCCAGGAAGGCAAAUGUGGACAGGGUGAUGUGGAUGCUGUGUGUUCUAGCAGGGGCCACGGCAGUGGUCUGCGUGGGAUCAUCUCCGGUUGGUCUGCAAUUCUAGUACACCUCUACCCCCCCGCGCGUCCCGAUCAAAUCCCCAUCGCGCGCCCCCCGCCUAGUGAAUGUAACCACUUACCAGGGGUCUUGAUAGCAAAAUCUCGUAUAGGGACCAGACCCCGUUAAACUAAUCCAGUUAAUAGAAGACUACAUCUUUCUUUUUAACGGAAAAGGUACUGGAAGACCAGAUCACGAAAGGUAGAAAAUCCUAGAAGACCAGAGGCCAGAGCCAUGCUCAAUUUCUUACUAGUACUGCGAUUAAAAACGGAAUGAAUGUGAACACGAGAGCAGCGUUGUUAAGCUUAAGCAAGCGCGUUGGUGCGUGAUCUGGCAAUGUAUUUUCAGGUCUGAAUGUGGUAACAAGCCUAAUCCUUCUGUCCGCUAUGCAGGAACAGGACAGCAUUGUGUAUCAUGUUACUAAUGGUUAUAAAAGAGAUUCAGGAACACGAGAGAGGAUAAGGUGGCGACUGGCGAACGCAAAACCGCGUGGCUCGGAGAUCCGGGGCACACCCCCUCUGACAUCAGGGCGACCUGGCCUGCCCGUGCGGCCGGCCGGCUCGGUGAUCGGCUGAUUUCCGCCCGUGCUUACGCCUCGCAAGCGUCCAAGGUCCAACGGAGGCGUCCAAGGUCCAACGGAGGAGAGCGAAAAUUCACCCGCCCCCACCCCCCACACGGCCACACCCGCGAGGCCGCGACGAGAGCUGGCUGGCUGACCUUGCUCGGCCGGAGGACGCGGUCCAAAGCGCAAAUCCGGUUGGGGCGCAGCGCUCAUGUGGGAACCGAUAGGAACGCCACCUGAUACGUGUCAAACGGCGGUUGGCCGUUAACAGCUGACAAGGCAGGCAGCUUUUUAGCGGCAGGUGUCACUGUACCGGCUAGCUGUUUGGGUAACGACGAUAUACCCGUGUUGCCGUGUGUGGCGCCGCCCCGCGAGGUCCAUGACGCGUGCGUGCCGGGCCGACGAGCCGGCCGGCCGGCCGGGCUAGCCAGCCAGUCGGCCACCGUCUCAAUUAAUCAUAGGUUAAUUAGCGGGGCAGUGAUCAGGCUCCCCCCGUCACGUCCGCUGCAGAAAAAACCAGCGGCGGUGAUGGGAAUUGGAUUAGGGAGGGAGGACGUAACGGAGAAGAUCCGUGCACUUUAGGACGUACCCCGCAGAACGAGUUCCACGAUAUUAAUUAUGGUUUUACCGAACGUGCCCUAGCGUCGAAUUGAUCGUGUAGUACUCGCGUACCGGUGCGCGUACAACCUGGAAAUCCUCGGUUUCCGCAAGGAAAAAUAGACUUGCCGAGCUGCAUGUGUACGCGAUCAGCGUUAUACGACGCUGGAGCAUGUACUACGCUUGAGCGUUAUGCGAUCGUGUGAUUCGGCAGAUGCUGUCCUAGUGCCCUGCAGGUUUGGAUCAUGACGGCGUUUAGCUCAUCGUAUCUUUCCGUCAAGGUUACACGAGUUCAUCGAUGCGAAUCCAGUCAAUUAUCCAAAAAAAAAAAACCGCAUCCAGUCGGCCAUCCAUCCAUACAUCAACACCGGCAGAUCGAUCGAUCGCCAUCUGCCUUAACUGACGGUGGCCAGCUGCUCCGAAGGUCAGAGGGUCGACCACAGCAGCUCGAUCGAUCGGGGUCGGCUUGCCGAGACAGCGGCACGGCAGACACAUUGAAAGCAGGGAGCGAUCCAAUGCAGCAGCCAGCAGGCAGGCUCUGCUCUGUAGUUUGCCGGACAAGGCCAGGUCCGCUGGAUCUGCGUCCCACGGGUCAGCCUCACCACCUUCCGUUUCCGUCCCUUCCUUGCGAUCUGCGAACAGAUACGACUCGUGUGUCAUCUGUUGGCUUGGGACCCAGGCACAGCACGCGUCGUGGUCAAUGCUGUCUCUGCAGGGCGUGUCAACCAUGCAAGUAGCAGCACAGCGAGCCACUAGCUUAGCCUCACUGAUUAUUGCACUCGGAACUAAAGGCACAUCUUUAACUAGUACCAAUUUUUAAUACCAAUCAGAACUAAAGUAUUUUGUGUUAAAAAAAUAUUAGAAAUUCUCAGGAGGCUCCAAUCACAAGUCACGCAAUUUUUCACACGAAAUAUACGCAUGCGCAGUGCGUGGCAUUUAAACCUACAACCUCUUACCUCACACAUAGCUUCUUACCAUCUCACCUACAUAGCACAUCUAGCUAAACAGGCGAUGCUAUCUUUUUGUAUUCAUCUAAGGUGACCUUUAGUCCCGGUUGGUGUGUCCCCACAGGUUACGAAAUUUAGAUCUGAGACUAAAGUCUAUUUAAUUCCGGGUCAAAAACGAUUGAGAUUUUUAUUGAGGGUGGAAGUUCGUUUCUCUACCUAGUGCCUGCAUGCUACGUCAAGUUUGUUCGCAUGACAAUACAUUGUAUAUGGAUCACUAAACUGUUGUUGUAAUUAGGUUGAUAUGAUGUGUUUGACGGUCUUGCUGUAAUUUAACCUCUUUCAUCAGACCAAAAGGAACUUUGGCGGUCGUCAAGACACAAAUUUGUACACUUUUAUACAUGGUUCAUCGCACCGUUAGUCUGUUUUAAACACCAUUUUGAACACUACGUGGUGACCAGUCAUGACCAUUUUAUCUAGUUCGAACGACCAUAUGCCUAUUUAAACCUCUAUUUAGCCGGCAGUGACGGAUCUAGAAUUUGAAGGGAGGGGAGCCCUCCUCUCUUUCUCUUCUUUUUCCUCCUUAUUUUUUCUUCCUCCUCUUCAUUCAUAGCUGAAAUUUUUAGGGAAAUUUCGGGGGCUCUGGGCUGCGUGGGGUACUGGAUCCGCCCCUGUUAACCGGAACAAAGGACAAUAAUAGUGACCGGCUAUUUAGCAUUAACGUUUAGGCGAGCUUUUCCCCUAUGGAACUACAUUUAAGACGAACAUGUUCAUAUUAUUUUGAAACAUACAAACUUAUCCCGUACAAAUUAACCUGCAACCAAAUCUGAAACGGUUGAAUGAAGACUACCGAAAUUGUCACUUAUUUUUGUGACCGGAGGGGAUGUGGAUCACCAUUGUUUGUGCAACAAGGAUAUCUUUGCCGGAUAAUCCCACUUUCAUUUUUAGUUUAGCCGGUUCGUUAGUACACGAGCUUAAGCAAUCACCCGACUCCAAAAGCGGUCUAUGCGUCUCGCUAAAAAAUUAUGGAGCCCGUAAUAUUCCUCCUCGUUCCAAUCUCCUCUCACUACUAAACCCGGAAAUCAGAAGGGGAAAAAAAAUUCCUCCUCCCCGCCUAUAAGUACGCCAGCAGCCAACCCCCCCAGCUCAUCUCAUCGCAGUCUGCAGUCGCGCACACAUCCAAACUCCCGAGUCCCCUGCCUGUCUCGCUAGCUCAGCUCCACACCACACCGCCAGCGAGCUAGCACGACGAGCACGUCGUCACAGAACCGAACCAUGGACUACAGCGGUGAACUCGACGACUUCUCCCUGCAGCUCAUCCGCGAGCAGCUUCUCGGCGGCGAGGCUUUGGCUUGCCUCCCCGUCGGUCCUGACGCCGCGGCGGCGUACUCUGCGUCGUCAGUUCAUCCCGCCGCGCAGGCGGCGUUCCACCACCAGCCCGCGGCGUUCGUGCCGCACCAGCACCAGCAGCAGGCCGCGUACGUCGACUUGACAAACGAGUACGCGGAUGCCGCCGCAGCCGCCGCGGUCGUCGAGGCGGCGGCCUUCAGGGCGGAGCCGGUGAUGAUCCGGUUCGGUGGCGAGCCUUCGCCGGUGUCCGACCCCAGCCGGAGGCCGCUGCUCACGAUCUCCCUGCCCCCGACCUCGCACGCCUGGGGCGGCCCGGCGGCCGCGCCGGCGCAGGCCCUGGACGCGAACGACUUCCGCAAGUACCGCGGCGUGCGGCAGCGGCCGUGGGGCAAGUUCGCGGCGGAGAUCCGGGACCCCAAGAAGCGGGGCUCCCGCGUGUGGCUCGGCACCUACGACACCGCCAUCGAGGCGGCGCGCGCCUACGACCGCGCCGCGUUCCGGAUGCGCGGCGCCAAGGCCAUCCUCAACUUCCCCAACGAGGUCGGCUCCCGCGGUGCCGACUUCCUCGCGCCCCCGCCGCCGCAGGCGUCCCAGAACAAACGGAAGCUGCAACACGACGCCGCCGGGGCCGAGCCAGCAGCGAAGUCCGUCAAGGCCGAGGCGUUCGGAUCGCCGGCGUCGUCGUCCCUCACGUCAUCGCUGUCCCCCGCGACAACCACGGCCUCUACGGUGACGGCGACGUCGUCCUCGCCGUCGUCCGAGGCUGGAGCCACCGAGAUGUUCCCGUUCCCGAUGACGCCGUCGAGCUGGACUUGGGAGCAGCUGGAGGGCGUGUUCGGCAGCCUGUCGCCGCUCUCGCCGCACCCGCAGCUGGGCUUCCCGGAGGUAACCGUUAAUUGAGCGGUUAUCGGCCGCUUAAUCAAGCAUGAUGAUGACUAGGUGUAAAGACGUUAAUAAUCAUUAGCGGUUUUUAGUUAUGGACGACGGCCUCGGCUUUGGACUCAUCUCGAGGAUUUGGCGUAGCUUGGAGCUGCAUGCGUGUGUGUGUACAGAAUGGAGGGUGAUAAUAGAAUAUUUUAGGGCAAUGUGUCGGUGAACUACACAUUGACACAGAUCGAUAGAUGUGGAAAUAUAUACAUACGGGGGGUAAUAAUAUCAGAAAUGAUAGUCUGAGGUGCUUGAUGUGAUUUGUACAUUAAGUAAAGAAGAGUGUACCUGUUUUUAUUUAAUAGCUGUACACUUGUGAAUCAUUUUUAUAUCGCCAGUUCGCCGUAUAUAUCUAUGUUGCUUUUGCCUUUUUCUGGUGCCAUAAAUUUGAUCUAGACCUUGAUAGAUCAUAGGUGUACUAUGUAGGAGGCACAUGUACCUAUGGAGUGGCAUAUACUGAUGUAUGUGGUGAAACUGCGCCAACUGACGUUUCGUUUUCAAUGAAAAUCAAGCGCGAAAUAUUCAAAUAUUGAUAUUUGAGAGAUUCAAAUUUUAGUAUGGGCGUGCUACUAGACGCCAGGAGUCUGGUCAAGUUUGGCAUCUUGAAUACCAACAUACAUAUACAGAAAUUUGGAUGAAAUUCAACCAAAACAUGGUAACCUCGAAAUGUUUGCAUACCAACAUGUAUAUAUAUCUCGAAAUGUUUGCAUAUUGGAUCUACAAGCAAGACUGUUCUUUUGAUCGUGAAACUUCGCAUAGGUACAUGGUUAUAGUUUGAGAAGUUCUAGAACGUUCCGUCCCUUCUACUCGACACAAUAUGUAGCCGUUUUUAUGCAUGAGACGUUUUGCGUGCAAAUGCAAAGCAUGGGAGCAUCAUCUGAACUGAUGGUCAGAGCAACCAUUUUAAGCUUCUGUAAAUGUUCAUCAGGGAAAAAAUGAUACUACCAGCUAAUUACUUUAUUUGCUCAAAUCAACCGUAACUCCGAUGUCAAUCGUCAACUGCUGCAAGCAGUCCGUUACGUACGUGGUCUGAUCAAAACGGAAUCCAAAGGUGGCAGGCUCAAGAAUUGUACGAGAGAGUUUACCGCCACAUGGCUACUCUCCGUCAGUUCCUUGCGCGACUGGGAUCCCAGCAGCACGCAAUCUACAUUGGUAAUUACGUUAAGGAUCUCCUAUGGAUCAGACUAACCAGCUAUGCUACUGUUUAAGGAAGAUGGCAUGAAGCUGCAUGUAACUGAUUUUUUUUAAACGAACUGCAUGUAAUUAAAUAAAGUCAGACACUAACACUAGACGAUGGUAGACUGUCAACAGUUCCCUACAUACUCUUAUGUUUGAAUCUAUGGACGUGCAAUGAAUCUUGCCUUGGCGCGUGAUUCCUGCCCAUCGUCGCCGCAUGUUCAGCAAGCAUCAGCUCAAAUCCAAGGAACGGAUCAAAACGAGGCAGCGAGUGCGUGCAUGUACUUCGAUCGGACGGUUGAUUUGAAUAAUCUGCGUUUGACGGAGAGGAAUGGCUUCCGCUUCUGACUCUCGUUGAGGAGGGAGGCCGAUGGAUGCAGUCAAGAAAUGACGCAGGUUGAGAUGGCGAGGAGUCUAAGCUGAUGGAGAACAAUGGUCAAUCUACUCUUUUUUUCCUUGUCAAAACGGAAAUUUUCAGGUCUCUCAAUUAGUUCACGACGCAGUCUAUGUUGAGCUGAAACAUACGCUCAUUGGCUCAGGAUAUCAUGGAGCACAGCCAAACACAGUCUCCCCAAAGUUACUACCAGCAUUGCUACAUCCCUGUCAUGGACGAGGGCAAUUCCAUUCCAUUCCAUUCCACGAAAGAAAGCUGUAUAGAACUAUAGAUGCUACGUCUUUUAGAGCAUCUGCAAAACAAGCGGGCGUAAGAUUCACGUCCAGAGAGCAAAGAUACGCCCUAGUACUCCCGCAGCUUGAGAAAGCGCCGCGCCCUUUCGUGGCAAAGAAUCGACGUAAAAAGCCGCAAAAACUUACUCGGGUUUACGAAAGCGCAAGGCUGCGUCAAUGGUCGAGGAAAUUUGGCAUCCCGAGGUCAGCCGGCCGGUCGCGGGUCAAGCUGCCGUUUGCAAUUGUUGGCCGUGGCCUACAUGCUACAGGGCUAGCAGUAGCAGCUACGACGCGCGGCGGCAACGAGUCGACGACACCGGCGUCUGGUCCCAGCUCCAGGGUAGCAAGCAGCCAAGCACCGAGGCUGGCGCUGUCGCAGUUCGUUAAAGGGCCACGACACAUCGCCGGAGAGCGUUGGGUGGCGAGGGCCUAGGGUAGCAAGGCGAUUUCAUACAGCCUUUUUGACGAGUCAUGUGAAUCUUUCGAAUUUUAUAUUCUAUCGAACUUUGAGAGCUGAAAAGAAGGAACAGGUACACGGUCAGAACCACUCAUAUGGAUUGGUGGAUUCAAAGUAAAAACUGAAUGCCGCAGUUGAUCCAUCGCGCUGCAAUCCACUGAAAAUUGCAGUGCUGACUAGUGCCGUACGUGUUUCCGCGUCAGACAAUUCGUAGCAGGUUCAAAAUCCCUUUUUGUGACCCCAAUUUGGACAUGUCAGCUCAAUCAUGUCCAGGACAUCAGCUCGCUGUCAAGCUAUUAGUUGAUUUGAUCGAAACAAAAGUCAACCUCCUCUGUGCUCCGCCAUACGUAUGGCGAGCACAGGAACGGAUCAAACGAGUACGGACCCUCCCAGCCCCCAAUUCGUCAGCCAUGUUUCUCCGUUUCAGUUGGACAUCGCAAGCGAUCUGCAGCUGCAAACAAAAGCCGCGAGGGGAAGAAACUACUGGAAAUAAAGCAAAGUCUACGGGCUUACAGGCACCGGCCGGCUUGAUCGUCGAGGUCAAAACUGACAAGGAAGGGAGGGAGCUGCUAACCGCUAGCUCUCGCAACACAAUCAAUGCGGCCUGCAUUCCAAUUUCCUUAUCCGGCCUCUCUUUCUGCGUGCCAGCUGCAAAGAAAGUCAGAAAUCUUGUUGGGCACUCUCUGCGAAGGGUUGGCUGGCAGAUCAUGGCCGGAGCCGCGGCACGCAGGGUGACGACGACUGAUCGAUCGGGACUGGAGUUAAUGAUCCUGGAAAUGUAGUAAGGGGGUUUUACUUUGAUGCUGUUUCGUGCUCUGCUAACCCUUUUCGUGCUGUUUUGUCCCGCGCGAGUAACUGUGUUUUCACGAAUGAUUCAAGGGCUGACUUUUGGUAUUGGAGGGAGAUGAGAUGAUCGUGGACGCGGUCGCCUGUCAAAGUGUCAAGUCGGGGGUGUAAACGGCCGACGACCUCUGUCCGCACACAGUGCACAGCUGGCUAGUGAGGCUCUGACUUGAGCACCUCGGCACUGCACGCCUGUGUCUCUUUCGACGUGGACGAGAACGUGUGUGUGGUUGGCAGCUUAGUCGAGCUGCAGGUUACGCAUCUCUGGCCAUGUUUAUGCUACGUCAAGAACCGGGAGCUAGCCAGAAUACAGAGAAACACAAGCUGGGAAUUUGUUUGCACGAGCUUGAAGUAACCUGCAUAUUUACGGGUAAACACUUUUCUGUGAGGUAUCCCGUAUCCUUUAUAAAUACUUCAUUUAUAUAUCGUAUAUACUUACGAAUUACUAUUUGAUUUGAGCCUCUGUACUAUACAACUCAGAGAAUUUUUUUGGAAGAUGCAAAGACAAAAUCUCGUUUUAGCAAAUCCUUCCGAAUUUAUUAUGUGGGGUUCAGAAACUCUCAGGUCGCCAGCCCUGUAUACGUGUUCCAUUGUGUCCAGAAAUCCUCAAAAACGAUACACCAGUUUGACUUGCUCCUCUGGAUGCAACUCAAUGAAAUUCCAGUUCAAAUAUCUUUCUUCAGGAAAUCCUGCAGAAUUUAUUACGUGGGGUUCAGAGACUGCCAGGCCACCAGGAAUGCAUACACGCUCCAUUGCGUUCAGAAAUUCUAAAAAGGGCCCACCCCGCUCCCAUUUUUUUUAAAAUAAAUUAAUUAGCUCGUUCUAAACAUCAUACAAUAGAUUUAAAAACAGAGGGAGUGUUUGAUUUGCACCUCUGGAAUGCACAACUCAGAAAAAAUUUUAGAGUACGAAAACACAAAUCUCGCCUUAGCAAAAUCCUGCCGAAUUUAUAUGAUGUGAGGUUCAGAAUCUCCGAGUCUCUCAGGCCACCAGUUAUGCGUAUGUGUUCCAUCGCGUUCAGAAAAUUAUCAAAACGGUAUCCCUGUUUGAUCUGCUCCUCUGGAUGCAGCUCAAGUUCGUUCUUGGAGUCCGAAAAAUCAAAUCCUCUACUUUUAGCAAACCCGGCCGAACUCAUUACGUGGGGUUCAGAGACUGCCAGGCCAGCAGUUUUGCAUGCGCUCCCCUGCGUUCAGAAAUUCUAAAAAGCGAACGACAGGUCAGGUGCUCCACGAGCCAUACGUUGAGCCAGCCAACAGAGGGGCUACGUGAAGUUCCGUGACAGGAUCAUCAGCACCGAUCCCCAACGACAUCGUUGACGCGUGCCUCCGACCAUCAGUUCCUCGCGAAAGUCAGCCGCUCCCGAGCUCCAAAGUCUUCCUGCAGGUAGAACGAACAGCGACGGAGGAGCUAGAGCUAGAGACGCGGCAGUGAGCUCGAUCCGUUGAUGCGGAUCGCGGAGCCAGGACCACCGUCUGUCCAAAAGUCAGCAGGCGUCGAUCAAUCGUUUUCCGCCGACGAGCGCAGUGCACAGUGCUGCAGCGAGCUUGCGAGCCCAUUAAUGGCGACCAUGCAGAUGUAGUGGAGGUCAACCCCAGACACACAGACAGACACGCCCUCUCGAUCGCUCCCGCGUUUCGUUCGGCACUUGUCUUGUGAUCCCAGCAACCUGGCCGGCGGCGGUUCACACGGACACGGUGGGUUUCGCCGUUUUGGCCGUGCCGUGCGAGACCCAUUAAAACGAGCGGGAUCGAUCCGGCCCGUCUGUCGGUCGGCGCCGGGGUCGCUGUAGUAACCGCCGCUCCGCGCCGCCGGGGCACGCGCAGCCAAACACAGAGCGGAGCCGCGCAGGUCAGCUGGUGUUCCAUCACACGGCAUGGGCGACACGGCGCGGCUCCUGAGCCAGACGAGGGGCACACGCGUCGCCCGGGCCCCGCGCGUAAAGUGCACGGGGAGGGGACGCCACGCAGCACGCACGCCGCGCGACGCAGGGGGGCAGGGGCUAUCUAUCCAUCGCGCGCGGCUGUCGUUGCGCUUCCGCCGGUUCACGGCUCGGGUAGGUGUCAGCACACUGAAAUGCCGAGCGCCGCUACGAGGCGGUACGUGCCCGGGAAAUCCACAGUUCCACACGUACAUCCACACUGGACGGCUUGUAACCGCUAAUACUCCUACGUGGUCCCGUGGACAUUGCUGGCAGGUGCUGGCAAUGGCAUGCUGCCACAUUUUUCAGAGGUGUGACGUGCUGCCCGAAUGCUCAGUGAGACGUGUGUCCCUGUGAUAGUCGCAUGAAAGCUGUGUUUGCGAAAGAUGGAUCUCGGAUAUAUGCGACACUUGAGAUGGCAGUCACACCCAUGGGUACGGGUAGCUACGGGUUUGGCAUUUAAUAGGUGCGGGUGUAGAAUUCCACUCAUAAAUUUAGACAUGACCCGACCCGUACUUAGGUGGGUUAGGGGUGGGUGUAUUCACCCAUGGAUGCCCGGUGAGUGCCCAAAAUCCCUUAAAAUAUUGACCCUAACCUUUGUUAAAGUAUUAAAUUAUACUAAUAUAACGUUGUUGAUGUAUCAUGUAUUGUGAGGUGAAAGGUACUGGACUAUAUUGACAUGAAAUUAUUUAUGUACCAUCAUAUGAAAAUUUUAACAUGCGAUUUUGUUAUCAGUUGUUAUCAGUGAUGGACUAUUCUUUUAUGAGAUGAAAUAUAAAAGUUUGACUUCAUAGUAUGUUGCUCAAAUUGCAUUUUGUGCGUCAAAUUCAUAUAUCAUAUGAUAAUGUUGAUAUAUUUUGAACACUUUACUUCUUUAAACAAAUCCAGUGAGCACCCAAAAUCCGACAGGUGCCCAGCAGAUACGGGAGUAGUGCAAAAUUUCACCCGUUAGACAUUAUAGGUGUGGGUGUAACUAAAUAUGAUGGGUUUCAUCGUGGGUGAGUUUUGCUCACCUGCACCCAACUCGACCCAUUGCCAUCCCUACGCGACACAAGGUUUGUGAUCGUACCGAGGGUUGAGGGCACAUGUUAACACGAGCCACCAAACUUUAUUACUGGAAGUGUGGAAUGUGGAAUCGGAUUCAGGUCAAAGUUCAUGCUUACCUUUAUGCUUGAGCCGAUAUAUCAGACAUUCAGACGAUAUCGAGGGGGUGUUUGAUACUAGGUGCUAAACUUUAGCAGUAUCAUAUCGGAUGUUCGGAUGUCAAUUAGGAUGACUAAGGGCCUCUUUGGGAAGGGCCUUUUAACACAUUUUGAACACCUUGGCUGCCAAACACAAGUGUUAAAGAUGAAGUGUUAAAAUUUAACACCUCUCUUUUCAUAAACACAUGGAGGGGGUGUUAAAAUGUGCUAAGGUGUUAAAAGUGGUCCCCCUCCCCACUUAUUCCCUGGUUGCCCCCCUCUCUCUCCUCUUCUCUCUCCUCUGUUGCCCCCAUCUUCCUUCCCCGAUCCGCGCGUCGCGCGCCGCCGUCAGUCCGCCCGUCGCGCGCCGCCGCUGUGCCCGCCACCACCGGUCCGCGCCGCUCCUGCGCCGGGAUGCUGCGCCGGGCGGCGGGCGGCGGCCUCGCGCGGGCGAGGCCGCUCCGGUGGUGUGGGGGACCGGCGGGCGGCGUGGUGGUGACGGUGGGGGCUCGGGCGGGCGCGGGCGCGGCCGCUGGCGCCACGGUAGGGGACGCCGGCGGCGGGGCGGGGCCGUAGGCGGGGUCGGAGGCAGCAGGCGCAGGGGAGGGGCCGGAGACGGUGCGGCCGGCGGUGGGAGGGCAGCGCCGGCACCGACGCCGGGCGCGGCAUGGAUCGAGCAGGGGGAGGGGCCGGCCAGGGAGCAAUGGCGCUGGGGGCCGACCAGGAGGUGGCCUUGCGUGCGCAGCCAGGAAAGGAGGAAGAAGGAAGGAGAAGAAGGAAGAAGGGGUAUUUGGCUGCCAUUGAGAGGAGUAAUGAGGGGUAAAGUUGUCAAUUACAACCUAAGAUGUUAAAGUUUAACAGAUCAUCCAAACACCUCAAGAUACUAAAGUUUAACACCUCAUUUGAGGGUGUUAAAGUUUAACACCCUGUUAAAUUUUAACAUGCCCUUCCCAAAUAGGCCCUAAACAUGAACUAAUUAUAAAACUAAUUGCAGAACCCUGUGCUAAUUCGCGAGACGAAUCUAUUAAGCCUAAUUAAUACAUCAUUAGCAAAUGGUUACUGUAGCACCACGUUGUCAAAUUAUAGAUUAAUUAGGCUUAAUAGACUCGUCUCGCAAAUUAGACUCCAUAGUUUUGUAAUUAGCCUAUGUUUAAUACUCCUAAUUAGCAUCCAAAUAUCCGAUGUGACAUGUGCUAAACUUUAGCAGGGUAUCCAAACGGCACCUAAAUCAGUCGGUUUACAAGUAGUAGGAUAUGGAGGUCCUAAGGAUGACCGCACCACGCCUACACCAAGCCAACCGGUAAAGCAGGAUAGCCCACCAUCAGCACUCCUUUUACAGUUCAGGAACGGGUAGCACGCUACUGCCGGAGGGCCUGUAUACGCCCCCCCCCCAAUCAUUGCCGCAGCCCGUCACCGAGAGCGGAUAUAGGUGUGGAACCCGUUCCGAGAGCGGAUACAGGCACGGGGCGGAACCUCUACCUGUCCCGAUCUCCUGUAGCGAAUGGAGAUUUGGUGUACCUCAUAGUGGCGCGCGGUGCAGCUCCUCCACUGCCAUAUUAUGGGCCUGUUUGGCAACUAUGUGUUAAAGUUUAACACCUGUCACAUCGGAUGUUUGGAUGCUAAUUAGGAGUAUUAAACAUAGGCUAAUUACAAAACUAAUUGCACAGAUGGAGUGUACUUCACGAGACGAAUCUAUUAAGCCUAAUUAGUCCAUGAUUUGACAAUGUGGUGCUACAGUAACCAAUUGCUAAUGAUGGAUUAAUUAGGCUUAAUAGAUUCGUCUCGCGAAUUAGCACAGGGUUCUGCAAUUAGUUUUAUAAUUAGCUCAUGUUUAGUUCUUCUAAUUAGCAUCCGAACAUCCAAUGUGACACUGUUAAAGUUUAACACCUCGUAUCCAAACACCCCCUAUAUUUGCAGGUGAGGUCCGUUCCCAGGUUCCGGGAGCCUAACAGGAGACUCUGUCAGACUGUCAAAGCCCUACAUUGCAGGGCCUUUUCUUUUUCUUUUUUUUAGAGGAAUGCAGGGUUUCUUCUCAUCGUAAUGUUGGUGGCUUGGUGCUGGCCUAAGUCGGGCCUCUUCCAUUUCCAAUUAUCCAUGGGCCACUGGGCUUUGCAAGAAUUGUCUUGCCUGGCCCGCGCUCCCUCGACAGGGAAAAAUGUUUAUGAAUUGAUAUAUCAUUGUUUUCCCAAGUCAGCUCUAUCCUUCCAGAUAAACGAGCUACAUUCAUAAAUCAAUCUCUUCCUACCAUUGAUAAAUUAGUAACCAAGUGGAUUGUCUUACUUGUUAGAAAACCAAACAAACAAAAAGCUGACAACAAAGCUGUUAUUCAAACAGGUAAGCACGGUAGCAGGUACAAAAGGGACCAAUUGGAUCGAUUCAGCAUAGCCCCAAUACGCUGCAACUUAUUUUAAAACACUGUCCACAGUACAAAUCUAUGCGAAAAUUAACAGUACACAAGCUGGACAAUAGCAAGUACAGGUUGAUCCCAAAUCCAGUUUUACACACUGCA